ACAAUACAAAUUAUUAUGAUGAUGAAGGUCCAGUUUAUUUUGUUCUCUGUUUUGUUCUUAUGGUUGGUAACUGAUCAUUCCACUGCUUCUAGAUUGCUUCAACAAGAUAAGAGUGAAGUUUUGGUGUCUAAUUCCAGGCCAAAUCCAAGCACAGAUAAUCAGAAGAUUGAUGGAGGUAAAAUCUUAUCAUGCAAGGAGAAGGCUGACUGCAAAAUUAUGUAUGAAGACACUGAUUAUAUAUACUCCCACACUAAACCCUGAUUACAUAUAGUCAGAUUGAUUUUGUAUUUGUUAUUGGACAAAUAUAGCUAUGCAUAAAGACAAGCUAUCAAUUGUUCUAAUGUUUUUAUAACUUUUAUUGUAUUAUUAUCAUGACAAAUAGAUUUCUUAU
Long non-coding RNA from Cryptomeria japonica (Japanese cedar), 391 nucleotides. RefSeq lists it as uncharacterized. The record is from RefSeq and is a predicted model, not a curated record. NCBI's taxonomy places the organism in Eukaryota, Viridiplantae, Streptophyta, Pinopsida, Cupressales, Cupressaceae. The transcript has 3 exons.